Molecule: long non-coding RNA, 1911 nt
Filed under: Citrus maxima (pomelo)
Lineage: Eukaryota; Viridiplantae; Streptophyta; Magnoliopsida; Sapindales; Rutaceae
Description: long non-coding RNA (CMAX_LNC000043)
Source: RNAcentral
CCAAAAAAAAAAAAGGCACUAUGAUAAACAGCCAUUUAUGGUUGAGUGAUGUGAAUGCAAUCCAUCACAAUCUUCUUCACCUGCACAUAAUAGAAGACUAUUUUUAUUGUCGGUGCUCCAUCAUGUUUAAUAAUUAUUUUUUUCCUUUUUAUCGUCUUUCUUCUUAAAGGAUAUGAUCGAACUGCUAUUUUGUCAAAAAUGAUCAAUUAAGUGCUUUUCAAUCUAAGCAAAGAAAAGCUUUUUACGUAGUAACGGAAGAGAUUCUCGAGAAGUUUGAUAUGUUAAGGUAUCCCUUAUGUGAUGUGAAGUUGCGAGGUUCUUGUCAUUCUCUUGAAAUAUAUAUAUAUAUAUAUAUAUAGAGAGAGAGAGAGAGAGAGAGAGUUAUUAUCUAGUUAGGUUAAUAUAUGAUACUUUAUAAUGUAUUAUAGUACCACCUUAUUUGUACAAGAAAGAUUCUACUUAUUUCUAAAAAGAUGAAAGAUGUUAAUUUUGAGUUGAUGAAAGAAAUGAUAUUCCUACAAUGACAGUAAAAAAGAAUUUUAAAUUAAAUUAAACGACUAAUCACUGUUAUUUUUUAGGCAAAGAAGCGGUAAGAGUGUUGCCUUUUUAGGGCGGAGGUAACAAAAGAAAAAAUUGGAGUAAAAUCCAGUGAUUCACUUAGCCGCAACAAAUCAAUCAUGCAUCUCUAACCAUGUCAAAUAAUAAAAAAAACUUUCCUUACUUAACCAACAAAGUCAUAAAAUACACAGAUAUAGACAUUUAAAACACCUAAUUAUGGGCCAAACAAAGUCAGAAUCAAAUUGAAUAAUGCAUCUACUUAAGGCAAAUCCCACCCAAAUAUCCAACCUAAUUGUGUGUAAGUCAUGACCUGUAUUUUCCUUGUCAGUUGCCACAUCAAGAUGGGAACUUUGAACGCGACUGAUCAUAUAACGAAAGCUAGAUGAAAGAUGGUAAUGUUUGUCCAAACUUUUUUAACUUUAAUUUCUAUAAUUUCAAAUUUAAAAAAUUUUCCAUUCAUAUAUACAUAUAUACGCCAAUAAUGAAACCUCAAGAAGCAAGAACCAUUUUUUUUAUUUAGAGAUAAAUAUGAUAUUCACAAUUCUCAACAACAUGAAUAAAAAUAAAUAAAAAAAAAGGUGAGAACAAUAGAGAAGCAAGGAAGAAAGGGAACAAACAACCUUACCAAACAGGUAGAGCGCAUUAUUUUAUUAUCAUCCCCCUUUUGCUUUCCACAUUAAUUAUUCCAAUCCAAAAAGGGUACGCAUGGCUAUAAACCAUUGGCUUUGUCGUGGCCAAUUUAAAGCCUCUACACCUAUUUUGUUUUUUGUUUUUUUUUAUCCCCAGCAAGCUUUCUAAACUUGGAAAGUCUCGGAAACACACUGUAAUUAUUCAAUAAUAACAAUAAUAAUAUAAUUAACCCUAGAGAGCAAAAGAGGACCAGCAUUUGCACUUCUCACUAUUGCAACACAUGCAUCACGCUGCUGCAGUGCCAUGACAGGACCUGUGAACAAUAAUGCAAUGUCCCCGAAAUUAAUAUCCUGUGACAUUUCAAUUCAUUGGUUUUGGUUUAUCAGUUGGGUACCGUCAUAACAUAUGAAACCUACAAGAACCGAAACUUCACCAAGAUUGCUGUAUGCAUGGGCUUGGCAGAAGAUGGGGCUACGGCCUUCAGGUUCAUUAUUAUUUUGUUUAUCUCAAUGAGAAAUAUAUAUCCAGCAGAGUCUCCUUUGUUUUGUUAGGUUUUGGGGUUUCUCUCGACGAACUCCUAUCACCAACAAAGGUGAAAGCAGCUUUCGAUUUGACAUUAUUUGUGGAUAUGAGCUUCGAGGUUCCAAAUCGGGUAAUAAAUGAUUAUGACAAAAAAAUAAGUCACAAGAAAGGUUUUCAAGAAAGGAUUUGAUUAAUUUGUCU